Molecule: non-coding RNA, 111 nt
Organism: Xyrichtys novacula (pearly razorfish)
Lineage: Eukaryota; Metazoa; Chordata; Actinopteri; Labriformes; Labridae
Source: the annotation of a GenBank genome assembly
UUUUUAUGUUAUAGUUAUGUUACUUCUGUACAUCAUCCAGUGUUUAUUGUAUCCUAAAUUUACAAUAAACACUGGAUGGUGUACAGAAGUAACAUAACUAUGACAUGACAU